GGCGUUGAUAGUGCAAUUGGUUGAGCACGCGUCUCUGGAAAAGAUGAAAUGCGGGUUCGUCCCGUUCGCCU
This is a non-coding RNA of Parelaphostrongylus tenuis, 71 nucleotides long. NCBI's taxonomy places the organism in Eukaryota, Metazoa, Nematoda, Chromadorea, Rhabditida, Metastrongylidae. The record is from the annotation of a GenBank genome assembly.